This 3296-nucleotide long non-coding RNA is filed under the name Calidris pygmaea (Spoon-billed sandpiper). Its description in RNAcentral is "lncRNA (ENSCPGG00000009059.1)". The record is from RNAcentral. Lineage: Eukaryota; Metazoa; Chordata; Aves; Charadriiformes; Scolopacidae.
CCACCAUCCAAUCAGCGGCUGGCAUCGCCUUAGCAACAGGCCAACAAAUGCCGGCUGGCCAAUCAGGGAGGAGGAUGGGGGGCGUGGCUUGGGCCGCCAGCUCCGGGGGUGAGGCGCCCGCGGCGGUGGUUGAAUCGCGGCCGGAGCGGCGGCGGCCACCGCUCCGGCUGUCCCCCCACCCCCGGUUCUCCACACACAUACACACACCUUCCGUCCUCCCACCCCGCCAAAACACCGGCCACCGGAGACCCCCUCCGUGCCUGACAGGCUUCUGUCAACCCGCCACCCCGGGAGCUGCGUGGAGUUUCCGCCGUUCCGAAGGCAGGCGGAAGAUAACCCUGUCCUCCACGAGUGAUGGCAACCACAACUCCGUGGCCUGCAGUUGAUGUAGGACGCCUGAAAGCCGGCAGCCAGACGGGAUGCAGCUUCCACUCACGGAGCUCAGCCCGCAGCUCUUGUCCUUCCCAGUCCUGGGUUCGUUUUCACCAUCCACUUCUCUCAGGUCAAAUACGCAGAGACGACAGAGAGCAGGAAGACUGUCGUGGUUUCAGCUAAAUUUACCAAAACCAGACUGACAGAUGGCCCUUCCCACCCUCCCAAAAGAGAGGAGAGGAAGAGAUCAGGAGAUUUAUAAGUUUAGAAUGAACUAAGCUACUUAUAUGAAGAAUUAAUAUUAAAAUCAGAAAGAAGAAAAUAAUGAAUCAUAGAAUCAUACGGGGUUGGAAAGGACCGCUGGGGAUCCUCCAGUCCAACCCCCCCGCCAAAGCGGGUUUACCUAGACCAGGCUGCACAGGAACUUGUCCAGACAGAUGAAGACCCAAAUCUUGCUAUUCCAGUGGAUAGUCAUGCGGAUCUUUUUUGUAUCUAUGUAGGUAAGGAAAGGGACCUUCCUAUAUAGUUGGGCUAUGGUGCGCGCUCGUUUAUUUCCUGGUGUGUGUGAUGUGUCUUGUGUACUGAUUGCAUUUGCCCAUUCCAGAAGUGCCCAUUCCACUCCUCACUUGUUGGAGAAGGAUAAAAUAUUUGCUAAGCUGCUGUAAACCUUCAUCUGCAGCCCUUGUAGCCCUAAACGUGCCUCCCCUCUGAAUAGAUUCCCGUCUUUUGCCCGUCCGUUUCUGGACACACAACCUGAGAAUACCCACAGCCACUGUCAGGAUGUGGGAUGAGCUCCAAGCUGUUAAGAAGAUCACACCAUUUGUGAACUUGUGGAUCAUCUUCUGGGACUUUAGGUUUUGCCAAUUUGCAGACAAUUAUGAGUCCUGACUGCAUCAUGCUGAGCAGCAGACAGCUCUUUCCUGUUCCUGAAACGCUGUCUGGUGGAAAAAGUGUUGGAUGGUAGUAGCCCUACUUAAGGCAUUCUGGACAUGUUGAGAACACCACCGAUAAAUCUAAUUUUUAUUGUGACAGUGAGACAGCUGCAAUUUGGAGCAGCUCCUGAAGGCUGCAGGUACGGUUGAGCCGCCUUGGAUGUUUUUCCGAACACAUAGAAUUGAGCCUGCUGAAAUUAGUGGGACAUUUGGAUAUCCAUGCAAUGCAAAACCUCACCAUCUUUGAAGCUCUCUAAUUUCCAUAUAUUGCUAUGCUGUUGUUCCGAGUUAAUUACAAAAUACCCUGAGUGAUCAGUUGUGCUGAUUUACAUGAAAGUUGACCCAGUUUCCAAGACUUAAUUCUAAAUUGGAGCUUGGUGAAAAAAUGUCAGUUUCAUAUUCGCUCCGUGCUAUAUACAUAUAUGUACCCAAAGCAUCUGUGCUGAGAUCUGCUUUUGUUUGAAAUAAUGACCCUCCUUUUCCUAGUUCCUCAAUCAGGAAACUUUCCUCUGUUUUGGUGGGUUUUUAUUGUUUGUUUGUGGUUUUUUUUUUUUUUAAUAUUUCAACCCUAUUAUCUCUUUCCUAAAACACAAGUCUCCUUCCUGCAGCCCUUCACCUCCAUGUCCUUUGGGUAAGGAGAAUGAAUCAGAAACAGCAUUUCCUGUGUUACAUCCUGUUGGUUCUUGUAGUUACAGCUAUAAACUGCCAAAUCACAAGAUUUUGUUACAAAUCUAUCAGUAUUUGGCACAUCAACUUAAAGUCUCAGAUUCAGGAGAGGUAAGGAGCUCAUCUCUAGCAGACACUUUUAGACCUGAUGAGUUCAGAGCAGAGCUUUGAGUUCACCAGAGCAGCUCAGAAAUCAGCAUACAAAUGAAACGAUCCGUCUCUUGUAUAAUAUAUGUAUAUGUUUAUAUAAAAAUCUUGCUUUUAAUCUGCUUUUUUCCCACUUGUGCUUGCUCUCCUGCACAUCAGCCCACCCGUGUCUCUAACCGAGAGCGAUUCACCAUGAGUGGGUGCCACUGCUCAGCCCUUCUCCCUGCUGGACGACCACCUCCUCCUACUCUGGUUGUCCACACUUUUCUCAGCCUGAUUCUCACCAGAAAUACCACCCACUGUCUCUUUGCUGCUCUUCUUUCCGGUCCCACGCUGGCUUGUUUCCAGCCACCUUCUAGAUCACCCCACCAUUAUAUAUUGCUAUAUAUAUUUUGAAUCUGGAGCACUAAACAGGCUGACAUGAUUUGCUUAAGCGUGUGUUAUGAAUAACAAGCUGUAGGCCGACUGUUCUGCAGAACGAUGUUGUCUGUGCGUGUGUUCAUGUGUUCCCCACAUCCUGCCGAAAGUCACACAUACGUUCAGUGGCUGCAGUGUUUUUUUUUUAGCAGUGUUUCUGAUAGUCCUCAUAAUUUGUAUGUUUCGUGCCAUCUUGUGGCAAACGGGCUGAACUGCCUGAGCUGCCUUUUACCAGCCUUUUGCCUCAGCAAUCCUGCAAAACGGGCGUUCAUUGGUGAAGCCUUUGUGUCAAAUCAAAUAAUAUUUUUAAAUAGAAUUCCACUUUUACUAAAUGAAGAACAUGAUAUAAAGUGUAGCUGAAAGAGGUGUUUACCAGUUAUUUUCCAAUGUUUAGUUAACUGUAAAUAUUAGUUACUUUUCCUGUGGUUUUUUUUUUUUUCAAAUGAACUAUCCUUUAGCUAAAUAUUAAAAGUUUUAUAGAUCGUGAAACAGAAUGUUAAAAAUUGAUUGCAAAGAUGAUCAAGUCUUAUCAUCUUAGAUCAACAAUAGGCAGCAAAGACUUAGUUUGUGCACAUGUAGGUGGUUAUUUAUCAGGAGUCUCCAAUAACCUUUCUCAGGGCUUGUACAUGAUAGACUAUUUUUUUUUUGGCUGACGAAAACUAUGAAGGUGAUGCUCUGUCAUUAGAGUCAGUAGCUCAAAGGAAGAUGGCAAUAUUCCAGCCUCUAUAAAGAAAUAAAGAUUAGACCUCACUUAAUAAACCA